This 2760-nucleotide long non-coding RNA is filed under the name Paramuricea clavata. Lineage: Eukaryota; Metazoa; Cnidaria; Anthozoa; Malacalcyonacea; Plexauridae. The record is from RNAcentral.
AUUUGUAUUUCAUGACAAAAACUCUAUAGCGUAAACGAGUUUAAAAUUUAAAAAACCUACUUAAAUGGUUUCAGCAGCAUAUCCUGUUGCCUGUUAUGUAUUUUUCUUCUCUUUUACAUUCUUUAUUUUAACACAAAGCCACGAAAACACUAGUUUAAAUAGUAUAAAUUUGUGCCGCCAUUUUGUUUAUUUAUGUACGUAGCCGGUCGGGGCGGGCAACAAUUUUUCACUUAUUGCCCGCGCGGGAUACAUUGCAUUUAUCUAAAGCCACGUGACUACAAAUCAGCCAAUCACGUUUGGUAUUCACACUAGCUAUAUAACAAUAUGGGUUGUUCAAGCAGCAAUAAUAAUCUUCUUGAACUACGCCAUCUUCUCGUCAAAAUUUCAACACGUAUAAUAUGACUAGGUUAUAAAUUAAAAACGCUGGAUAUAACAUUUUAACCGUAAAGUGCGACUCACCCCAAAUAUAAUUUUUAGUAUUUGUAAUAUUUGGGUCAUUCUAAGAAGAGAUGUAAUGUAUCUGUAUAGUAAAAAACCUCAUCUUGAUCAACUUUUUCACUGUCAUUGCAAUUCACCUAAUGAUUUUAGACCGAUUUAGAUCGAGGACGCAGACGUCAAAGACGACGUGAAAAUUGGGUGUUGUGCCCAUGUAUGGAUAUGCCACACCAUUCUGACGCCAUUUUCACGUCGUCUUUGAUGUUCGCGUCCUCUAUCUAAAUCUGUCUAUUAUAUUUAGAAAAACUCCCAUCUUAAAGGUGAUCUACAGUCCGAUCUGCGCAUGUGCACAAAUGAGCCCACUUUUUAUGAUACAAACACUGUCAAACAGUUUAACUAUGUUUUGAGUUCUUGAAAAGCCUGAUUGUUGUUUCUUGAUCAUUUAUUAUACUCUAGAAGCUUGAAAAUAUAAAUAGUUGUCGAAUAAAGCUCAAUAUUUUGGACACAAAAAAUGUAAACAAAGACUUUGUUUACAUAUGGACUGUAGAUCACCUUUAAUAAACUUCUUUAACAGUGAAAAAGAUUAUAUAUUUUUGUUAUAACGAUUAUAUUCCAUUUCUUCCUCGAAUGACCUAAAUAUUACACAUACCAAAAUCAUAAUUGUGGUUAGUCACACUUUCAACUAAAGCAAACUUUAAGUUUAACUUUUUUACUAUUUUGAAUAUCUAGUUCUUCUCGUCCAUUCUUUUACUAGGCAUUAUCUAACAUGAAUCGCGUUCUAUUUCAAUUUUUUAGCGAGCUCACAGUUGAUUUCAUAUAACUUUUCCCUAAAUGUUGCAAACUUCGUUCCUAACUUCGUUGUGAAGUUCACACUGAAAUUCAGAAGUCGGUAUGUAAACAAAGCCUCUGAUUGGUCGCUGAACAAAAGUAAGCCAAUCAGACGCUUUGUUUACAUACCGGCUUCCGAAUUUCAGUAUGAACUUUUGAACUUCGCAACGAAGUUCGUAACGAAGUUCGCAACAUUCAGGGAAAAGUUAUAUGAAAUCAACAAUCGAGUGUCACGUGAAAAUGGAUAGAACUACUAACUUUGACGGCAUUUUGCAUCAGCGCUUGUGUAAGGAAGCCAAAAACUUUAAUAAUCUUAUGUUUUGUCGUGUCCACAAACUGAUACAAACACAGCUUUUUAAAUCCAUUCCCCCCUCGGCAAUCUGACAUCCGUGUCGACAAAAAAGUCACUUGCUCCCUAUCUUUUACGGUAUGUGAUUCUGUAUGUAACAUACUAAUAUUCAUAAAUAUACAAUACAUUAGCAUAGUUUCCGAUUACGUGCUUACAUUUUGUUACACACGUAAAAAUCUCAACAAGAUGUUCGCACUGCUUGUUCCCAGUCGGUGAAAAGACUGGAACACGCUGUACAGGGGCGUAGGAAGCAUCAAAAGAUUGGGGGGGCACUAGCUCCCAGGGGCACUUUAGGACAUCUAAAAAAGGGCACCUAAAAAAUUUUCCCGGUAAUGUUUGCGACGGGGGGAGCGGGGGUGAAAGAAAAUUUUUGCCGUCAUACCAUGCCGAAAUUGCACGUUUUUGAUCACAUUUUAAAAAAAAACAUGGAGAUUUGCAAACAAAAAGGCACUUUUCGUUACAGCGACAUUAUAGCUUGUACAAAAAGGGAACUUUUCAUCACAAAAAAGGGCACUUGCCACUUUUAGUCCUUUGAAAAAAUUUCGGACCAUGGUUCCUGCGCCCCUGAAGCUGUAAUCUUGUAACCAGGUUGAUGAGGCCAACAAGUCUGUUCCAACAAGUCUGUUCCGGACAAGUUGGUGAGAACUUGCUCACUUGCUCAAUGCUCGUAGCAAUUGAUUACGAACAGCAUGUGCUAUAUAGUCUUGUUGGAACAACUUGUAGCGAGUCUAUAUUACCGUCAUCAACCUUCAAUUGGGGGAAUCGACUGAUUUAGGCAGGAUUUUUUCACCAGGGGGCAGUAAAGCCUAACUUGGGAGCGCGGUAAUGGGGGCGAAUUGAAAUCCCGGAUAAACACCACACAAUUAAUUAUUGAGUUACACUUGAAAGCAGAAAAAUUUAAAACAAGAGACACAAAACUGUGUGUUUUAUAACGCGAAACACUCCUAAUAUAUAUGCCGCCAUUUUGAUUCGCUGCGCGCAUGCUGAGACAAAUUGCCUACCUGUUCUUUAUCAUAGGAGCACCGAUGAUAGAUCAUAUUAUCUAUCAUCUGUGAUAGAUUUUACCCUUAAAAUUUUGUUGACUAGAACUCUUCCCAAACAUAAAGUCAACUUCUUAUACUGUAUUAAAUUCAUACGAAUUAUAAUAU